CAUUGAGUUUGAUCCUGGCUCAGAUUGAACGCUGGCGGCAUGCCUUACACAUGCAAGUCGAACGGCAGCACGGGUGCUUGCACCUGGUGGCGAGUGGCGAACGGGUGAGUAAUACAUCGGAACAUGUCCUGUAGUGGGGGAUAGCCCGGCGAAAGCCGGAUUAAUACCGCAUACGAUCUACGGAUGAAAGCGGGGGACCUUCGGGCCUCGCGCUAUAGGGUUGGCCGAUGGCUGAUUAGCUAGUUGGUGGGGUAAAGGCCUACCAAGGCGACGAUCAGUAGCUGGUCUGAGAGGACGACCAGCCACACUGGGACUGAGACACGGCCCAGACUCCUACGGGAGGCAGCAGUGGGGAAUUUUGGACAAUGGGCGAAAGCCUGAUCCAGCAGUGCCGCGUGUGUGAAGAAGGCCUUCGGGUUGUAAAGCACUUUUGUCCGGAAAGAAAUCCUUGGCUCUAAUACAGUCGGGGGAUGACGGUACCGGAAGAAUAAGCACCGGCUAACUACGUGCCAGCAGCCGCGGUAAUACGUAGGGUGCGAGCGUUAAUCGGAAUUACUGGGCGUAAAGCGUGCGCAGGCGGUUUGCUAAGACCGAUGUGAAAUCCCCGGGCUCAACCUGGGAACUGCAUUGGUGACUGGCAGGCUAGAGUAUGGCAGAGGGGGGUAGAAUUCCACGUGUAGCAGUGAAAUGCGUAGAGAUGUGGAGGAAUACCGAUGGCGAAGGCAGCCCCCUGGGCCAAUACUGACGCUCAUGCACGAAAGCGUGGGGAGCAAACAGGAUUAGAUACCCUGGUAGUCCACGCCCUAAACGAUGUCAACUAGUUGUUGGGGAUUCAUUUCCUUAGUAACGUAGCUAACGCGUGAAGUUGACCGCCUGGGGAGUACGGUCGCAAGAUUAAAACUCAAAGGAAUUGACGGGGACCCGCACAAGCGGUGGAUGAUGUGGAUUAAUUCGAUGCAACGCGAAAAACCUUACCUACCCUUGACAUGGUCGGAAUCCUGCUGAGAGGCGGGAGUGCUCGAAAGAGAACCGGCGCACAGGUGCUGCAUGGCUGUCGUCAGCUCGUGUCGUGAGAUGUUGGGUUAAGUCCCGCAACGAGCGCAACCCUUGUCCUUAGUUGCUACGCAAGAGCACUCUAAGGAGACUGCCGGUGACAAACCGGAGGAAGGUGGAGAUGACGUCAAGACAACAUGGCCCUUAUGGGUAGGGCUUCACACGUCAUACGAUGGUCGGAACAGAGGGUUGCCAACCCGCGAGGGGGAGCUAAUCCCAGAAAACCGAUCGUAGUCCGGAUUGCACUCUGCAACUCGAGUGCAUGAAGCUGGAAUCGCUAGUAAUCGCGGAUCAGCAUGACGCGGUGAAUACGUUCCCGGGUCUUGUACACACCGCCCGUCACACCAUGGGAGUGGGUUUUACCAGAAGUUGCUAGUCUAACCGCAAGGAGGACGGUCACCACGGUAGGAUUCAUGACUGGGGUGAAGUUGUAAGGAAGGUAA
RNAcentral lists this ribosomal RNA (1496 nucleotides) under uncultured beta proteobacterium. RNAcentral describes it as "bacterial SSU rRNA". It matches the Rfam family "Bacterial small subunit ribosomal RNA". The record is from RNAcentral. Lineage: Bacteria; Pseudomonadati; Pseudomonadota; Betaproteobacteria.